RNAcentral lists this ribosomal RNA (301 nucleotides) under uncultured bacterium. Its description in RNAcentral is "partial 16S ribosomal RNA". It matches the Rfam family "Bacterial small subunit ribosomal RNA", at positions 509 to 807 of the family's 1533-position model. The record is from RNAcentral.
CAGUAGCCACGGGAACACGUAGGGUGCGAGCGUUAAUCGGAAUUACUGGGCGUAAAGCGUGCGCAGGCGGUUCGUUAAGACAGAUGUGAAAUCCCCGGGCUUAACCUGGGAACUGCAUUUGUGACUGGCGAGCUAGAGUAUGGCAGAGGGGGGUAGAAUUCCACGUGUAGCAGUGAAAUGCGUAGAGAUGUGGAGGAAUACCGAUGGCGAAGGCAGCCCCCUGGGCCAAUACUGACGCUCAUGCACGAAAGCGUGGGUAGCAAACAGGAUUAGAUACCCCAGUAGUCCCUGUCUCUUAUAC